RNAcentral lists this ribosomal RNA (2932 nucleotides) under Candidatus Altimarinota bacterium. Its description in RNAcentral is "23S ribosomal RNA". It matches the Rfam family "Bacterial large subunit ribosomal RNA". Lineage: Bacteria; Candidatus Altimarinota. The record is from RNAcentral.
AAAUUAAAAUAUGGCAUAAAGUGGAUGCCUUGACUCGAGUGCCCGAUGAAGGACGUAUAAGUCUGCGAUAAGCUUGGAGGAGUUGACAAAAAACGCUAUUACUCCAAGAUUUCCGAAUGGGGGAACCCAAUUCCGGUAAUCGGAAUUAUCUGCAAAGCAGAAGGAUACAUUGUGAACUGAAAUAUCUAAGUAGCAAUGGAAAAGAAAUCAAUUGAGAUUCCCUGAGUAGCGACGAGCGAAACGGGAUCAGCCCAAACCAUAGAAGCUGUAGGUAGCUUUUGGCUCUAUGGGGUUGUAGGAAUAAUAUUCGGGGAGGCUAAUAAACCGAGUAUAAAAUAUUAAUAUUAAAAGAAUAAGUUUGGAAGCUUAACCAUAGAGGGUUCUAGUCCCGUAUUUGAAAAUAAUUUUAUUUUGUACCUAUUAUUUCCUGAGUAGGUUCAGACACGUGGAAUCUGGACUGAAGCUGGGGAGACCAUUCUCCAAGGCUAAAUACCACUCGAGAUCGAUAGCGAACUAGUACCAUGAGGGAAAGGUGAAAAGAACCCCGGGAGGGGAGUGAAAUAGACCCUGAAACUUUAUGCCUUCAAAGAGAUGGAGCCUUCGGGUGACAUCGUACUUUUUGUAGAACGGACCAACGAGUUAGUGUGUAUGGCAAGGUUAAGGAAGAUUUAUCUGGAGCCGUAGUGAAAGCGAGCCUGAAUAGGGCGAUAAGUCAUAUAUACUAGACCCGAAACUGGGUGAGCUUCCCAUGAGCAGGCUGAAGUAGAGGUAAGACUCUAUGGAGGGCCGAACCAUUUGGAGCUGCAAGUCCAUUGGAUGACUUGUGGGAAGGAGUGAAAAGCUAAUCGAACCCAGAGAUAGCUGGUUCUCCGCGAAAUAGCUUUAGGGCUAGCCUCGGAUUACUAUUUUACAGGGGUAGGGCUCUGAUAGGACUAGCGGGAUGCGAAUCUUAGCAAAUCCUGAUAAACUUCGAAUACUGUAAAAAUUAUACCGGGAGUCAGACAGUGACGGAUAAGCGCCAUUGUCAAAAGGGAAACAGCCCAGAUUACUAUCUAAGGUCCCUAAUUUAUAGCUAAGUGGCAAAGGAUGUGAGGUUGCUUAGACAACCAGGAGGUUGGCUUAGAAGCAGCCAUUCCUUUAAAGAGUGCGUAAUAGCUCACUGGUCAAGCGACCUUGCGCCGAAAAUCCAACGGGGCUUAAGCUAUAAACCGAAGAUGUAAAUUCAUACUUUUAGUAUGUCUGGUAGCGGAGCGUUCUGUAUGUCGCUGAAGGAGGAGGGUAACCGACUCUGGAGAUAUCAGAAGUGAAAAUGUUGGUAUGAGUAACGUAAGGAAGAUGAAAACUCUUCCCGCCGAAAACCUCAGGUUUCCUACACAACGUCAGUCGAUGUAGGGUUAGUCGGUCCUAAGGUGUACCCGAUAGGGGAAGCUGAUGGAUACACGGUUAAUAUUCCGUGACUAUGUAUAUUUUUCUAAGGGGGGACAUAUUGGGAUAUAAGAGACUCUUAAUGAAUUGAGUUACGAAAACAAAUCUUAGAUUGUAGGCAAAUCCGCAAUCUUUUAAGGAUGAGUUUAGUUACACUAAUUUUUUUCUUUCGGGAAAAAGAAAAGUCGCUCUUACUAUAUUCUGGUAUCAAGAAAAGCCUCUAAGAGCUAAGGUAUAUGUAACCGUACCGUAAACGAACACUCGUAGGUUAGUGGAGAACACUAAGGUGAACGAGAUAACUAUGCUUAAGGAACUCGGCAAAACAGCGGUUGUAACUUCGGGAUAAAACCUGCCUUGAAAGUAUUUUACUUUCUAGGCCGCAGCGAAAGAACCCAGGCGACUGUUUACCAAAAACACAGCUCUCUGCAAACUCGUAAGAGGAUGUAUAGGGGGUGAUGCCUGCCCAGUGCCAGAAGGUCACGGGGAUGAGUGCAAGCUCUGAACCCAAGCCCUGGUGAACGGCGGCCGUAACUAUAACGGUCCUAAGGUAGCGAAAUUCCUUGUCGGGUAAGUUCCGACCCGCACGAAUGGCAUAACGGUCUGGGUACUGUCUCAAGCAUAGACUCGGUGAAAUUGCAAUGUCGGUAAAAAUGCCGACUACCUGCAGCAAGACGGAAAGACCCUAUGGAGCUUUACUAUAGCUUGGUAUUGGGUCAUGUUUUAAGAUGUGCAGUAUAGGUGGGAGACUGUGAAGCAGAGUCGUUAGAUUUUGUGGAGUCAUCGUUGAGAUACCACCCUUCUUAAAAUGUGGCUCUAACCCUGUAAUCAGGGGACAGUGCUUGGUGGGUAGUUUAACUGGGGCGGUUGCCUCCUAAAAUGUAACGGAGGCGCGCAAUGGUUGGCUAGCAUCGGAUGGAAAUCGGUGUGAUAGUGUAUUCGCACAAGCCAGCUUGACUGAGAGACCUACAAGUCGAUCAGACACGAAAGUGGGCGAAAGUGAUCCGGCACUUACGUAUGGAAGUAGUGUCGCUCAACGGAUAAAAGUUACCCUAGGGAUAACAGGCUGAUCGCAUCCAAGAGUUCAUAUCGACGAUGCGGUUUGGCACCUCGAUGUCGGCUCGUCGCAUCCUGGGGCUGGAGAAGGUCCCAAGGGUAUGGCUGUUCGCCAUUUAAAGCGGUACGCGAGCUGGGUUCAGAACGUCGUGAGACAGUUUGGCCCCUAUCUGCUGUAGGCGUUUAGGAAUUUGAGAAGAUCUGCUCCUAGUACGAGAGGACCGGAGUGGACAAACCUCUGGUGUAUCGGUUGUCAUGUCUAAUGGCAUCGCCGAGUAGCUAAGUUUGGAAGGGAUAACCACUGAAAGCAUCUAAGUGGGAAGCCUACUUCAAGAUUAGAUUCCUCUGCCCUCGAGGCAAUAAGUCCCCUUGGAGACUACAAGGUUGAUAGGUUGUAGGUGUAAGGACAGUGAUGUUUUUAGCCGAGCAAUACUAAUCGGACGAACGAAUUUUA